UACAGAGGUCCCAAGCGUUGUUCGGAUUUACUGGGCGUAAAGGGCGCGUAGGCGGUUAUUUAAGUGAGAUGUGAAAUCCCUGGGCUUAACCUAGGAACUGCACCUCAUACUGGAUGACUGGAGUAUUGUAGAGGGUAGUGGAAUUUCCGGUGUAGCGGUGAAAUGCGUAGAGAUCGGAAGGAACACCAGUGGCGAAGGCGGCUACCUGGACAAAUACUGACGCUGAGGCGCGAGAGCGUGGGGAGCAAACAGG
This 253-nucleotide ribosomal RNA is filed under the name uncultured prokaryote. Its description in RNAcentral is "partial 16S ribosomal RNA". It matches the Rfam family "Bacterial small subunit ribosomal RNA", at positions 524 to 776 of the family's 1533-position model. The record is from RNAcentral.